Molecule: long non-coding RNA, 1178 nt
Organism: Prunus avium (sweet cherry)
Lineage: Eukaryota; Viridiplantae; Streptophyta; Magnoliopsida; Rosales; Rosaceae
Source: RefSeq, a predicted model, not a curated record
AAAGCGGCUCGCAAUAUAACACCCACGCUAUGUUGAACUCGCGAGUCCGAACUAAACCAUCGCAGAACUAAACCUUUGCACUGUCACCACCACCAACCGUAUCGACACCAAAAACAAUACCCAAUUGAAUACCCAAUCAGUUGACCCAGAGAGCCCUUUCUAUCUGCUCCGAUUCCUCAUGGGGUUACUAAUUUCUGCAACCAAACAAACCUAGAUCACUGGCUUGUCAAGAUCGAAGAGGAUGUGCGGCGUGCCUGGGAGAACACCUUUGUUGAAGCCUCUGUUUGAAGCUUUCCCGAUUGAAUUAAAAAAAAGAGUCAAAAGGGGAGAAGGAGAACUGGGGAAAAAGGGGAUGUGGAGGUGGGUUGCGAUGAGAGAGAGACAGAGACAGAGACAGAGACAGAGACAGAGGGAAUUGGGUUUGGUUGAUGUGAGCUCCGAUAGUUCUUCUUAUGUUUGCAAAGGCCGCAAGGUGAAGAAGCAAGAAUGAAUCUAUUAAUCCCAGGGAGCAAGAGAAGAUGGCUUCAGUGGGGGAGGUGGAUAGGCCGCUUCAUCUUCUACGCUACACUUCAACCCCUAUGUCUUCUCUGCACUGCAAAACUCAGCCACUUCAUCUUCUCCGCUCUACAAAACUCAGCCCCUGCAUAUGAUUUGUUUUUCUAGUUCACUCAUCGGCUGCUGGUUCAUCAGAAAAAGAGAAGGAAGAAGGUUGAUCACUGAAGCAUACCUCCAGCAUUUUGGUUCAUUGGAAGUUAAUUCCCAUCCUGCCUUUUAAAUUGAUCAUAUUUUCAAGCUAUGUCUCUGGACACUUGGCUACAAAGGCAAUUCUGGGAAUUUUUGGGUGUCCAGAGAUGUUUUUGGGGUGUGUAUCAAAAGCUAAUCACCCUUAUAUACGUAGGGAUGAAUGCUUUAUUGGGUGUCCACAGAUACACUAUUUAAUGAAUGCUUUAUUGGGUACUAAUAAUUUGGAAUUUGUUAAAUGGUGAAAUGGUUAAGAGUGGUGAUUAGAUGGGGAUGCUGUCCUUAAUGUUGAACAACUGCUUAUGAAUGGAGCCUUGUAUGUUGGUCAAACUGUGUAAAUGUUAUUAUUAUGUUAUAUAUCCAGAGUGCUUGCCUAUGUAGCUCAUGUCUAUGAGUCUAGCUAUUUUCGUUGUCAUAAUACAUUUCAGAUUUAAGCA